Molecule: ribosomal RNA, 296 nt
Filed under: uncultured Bacteroidota bacterium
Lineage: Bacteria; Pseudomonadati; Bacteroidota
Description: uncultured Bacteroidetes bacterium partial 16S ribosomal RNA
Rfam family: Bacterial small subunit ribosomal RNA
Source: RNAcentral
CCCCUAUUUCUAGUUGCCAGCGAGUAAUGUCGGGGACUCUAGAGAAUCUUGCCCGCGUAAGCGGUGAGGAAGGUGGGGACGACGUCAAGUCAUCACGCCCCUUACGUCCAGGGCGACACACGUGCUACAAUGGUAGGGACAGUGAAUUUGCAAGCCGGUCACGGUGAGCUAAUCUACAAACCCUAUCUCAGUUCGGAUCGAGGUCUGCAACCCGACCUCGUGAAGCUGGAAUCGCUAGUAAUCGCAUAUCAGCCAUGAUGCGGUGAAUACGUUCCCGGGCCUUGUACACACCGCCC